This 87-nucleotide non-coding RNA is filed under the name human gut metagenome. RNAcentral's name for it is "TPP riboswitch (THI element)". It matches the Rfam family "TPP riboswitch aptamer (THI element)", at positions 11 to 88 of the family's 105-position model. From Rfam's summary of the family: Vitamin B(1) in its active form thiamin pyrophosphate (TPP) is an essential coenzyme that is synthesised by coupling of pyrimidine and thiazole moieties in bacteria. The previously detected thiamin-regulatory element, thi box was extended, resulting in a new, highly conserved RNA secondary structure, the THI element, which is widely distributed in eubacteria and also occurs in some archaea. RNAcentral also lists the same sequence under 1 other name. The record is from RNAcentral.
UAUACAGGGGAGCUUGUCGGCAGGCUGAGAGGAAGUAAUCAACUUCGACCCUUAAACCUGAUCUGGGUAAUGCCAGCGGAGGAAAUG